CACAGUGUCUAGGAAGCAGAGCAAGAGUUUGCCCAGGUCCCCCCCGCUGCCAGCUUUUGCUUGAGCUACGAAAGUGUCGAGCCAUUCGCGCGGAUGCUUGUUUGCCUGGACCUGGAGCUGCAGCCACGCGAAGAAGAGCACGCGGAGUUGCUCACUCACAUCAAACAGGAGAAGGGCAUCCAGAAGAGAUGAGAAAGUACAAGGAACUCUAGACAUGAGCUCUGCCGACGAUCCUGGAAAUGACUUUGAUUGCAGCAUGGCACUCGGAGCAGACAUGUAAGUUCUUGACGAUUUGAAGCGGGGUGCAAGGAUCAGUUGUCAACAAACCAAAAGCUAAAGCAACUCUUUCGCUGUGAUAGCCGAAAUGCUCCACAUUUCUUCCAUCGUCUCGACAUCCCUCAGCACCUCGUUCAUAUCAGGUACAUAGCCAGCUUCUUGCAUUUGCCGGUCCAGCCUUUCCAACUCGGCUUUAAGUUUAUCAGUUUGUGGGUGCAGCUUGCCGGUCGUGCCAAACUCAUGCAACCUAUUCUUAAUCUCGAUAUAACUUUGUCCUGGGAGCUUCUUCCAACCUCUCUCUUGCAUCGCUCGUCAAAUUCUCCGGACGUCAUCCCACCUCCCAACUCGGCCAUAGAUACUGGAGAGGAGCACAAACGCAGCGGUAUUCGCCGGAUCCAAUUCCAGAACUCGAUCGGCAACGAGCUCGGCUCUCUCCACGCGGCCGUGCAUCUUGUAACAACCGAGUAGCGUCACCCAGAUAACACUCAUCCGCUGGAAAGGCAUCUCGUCCACCACCUCCUCGGCUUGAGUGACCCAUCCAGCCCGGCCGAGGACGUCAAUCAAGCGCACGAAGUGGUCGACCUCGUGGGAAAUGCCGUGAUCCAUCGUCAUUGACACGAAGUAACUCCUGGCCAGUUCCACAAGUCCGGUGUGGCUGCAAGCGUGCAAGAUACUGUUAAAGGUAACUCGGUUCAUUUCGCACGACUCCAUGAUCAUCUCUUGGAAUAAUUGCAGGGCGUCGUUGCUAUGCCCGUGCUGGGCAUAUCCGGUGAGCAGCGUGUUCCAGCAUACGAGAUCUUUCUUUUUGACUGUGUCGAAUGCGAUCCUGGCUUCGUGCAUUCUCCCGCAUCGUGAGUACAUGGUGACGAUCGCGGUGGCCACCACCAGGUGCUUUUCCAAUCCAAGAGUGAUGAUCCGGCUGUGGAAGGCUAUGCCCUCGGAGAGAGCUCCCAACCUCGAGCAAGCGUCCAGCACUCCAGAGUAAGCGUACAUGUUUGCUUUGGUUCCUUCCAGCUCCAUCUUUCGAAACAUUUCCAGGGUGGUCUUUCCAUCUCCGUGCUCCGAGUAGGCCGUGAUGAUAGCUCCCCAGGCAACGAUAUCUUUGCACUCCAUCACGUCGAAGGCUUUACGAGCAUCCUCAACGCUGCCACACUUCGCAUACAUGUCCAGCAAGCCAGUUGUGACGAUGCUGCUCUUGCCGAAAGAUGGUGGCUUUGCUUGUCCGCCGCUGGAAGACGCAACGAUCAAGUGCGAGUGAAUCGCCCGUCCCUCCUCGAGGGCGUCAGUUCCGAGCGCUCCACAGGCACCCAGGGCGAUGGAGAAGAUGAAGUCGUCCGGCUCCACUCCAUCUCCUGAUAGGCAUCGAGAGCGUCCCGGAAGAGCCCCGUUCUGCAAGUAGGCGAGGAUGAGGAUUGUCCAAGAGAAGACGUUCCUGGUGACUAUCCGGUCGAAGGCACUUCGCGCUUGAUCCAGCUCGCCGCAUUUACCAUACAUCUGGACGAGCAAAUUCCCGAGAAACGUAUCGCCGUCGUAGCCGCGGGACUUGAGGAGGAAGUGGAGCCUCUUGCCUUCCCAGAGGUUCUGGCUGCUCCCGCAUCUUCGCAACGCCUCGGCGUAGCAUUUGGUGGUGUCGCUGCUGCAGCGCAAACUUGGACUAGAACCCACUACUGCUACAUCGCUGGUGGGCCGCGGAGAAGAGCUGGAACUCCAGACAGCGUUCAUUCAUUCCAUCACAAAGCUCUCCGCAAGG
This 2026-nucleotide long non-coding RNA is filed under the name Selaginella moellendorffii. RNAcentral's name for it is "long non-coding RNA (SMOE_LNC000576)". The record is from RNAcentral. Lineage: Eukaryota; Viridiplantae; Streptophyta; Lycopodiopsida; Selaginellales; Selaginellaceae.